UUCAAUGCAAUAGUAUGUAUG
Molecule: non-coding RNA, 21 nt
Filed under: Caenorhabditis elegans
Lineage: Eukaryota; Metazoa; Nematoda; Chromadorea; Rhabditida; Rhabditidae
Source: RNAcentral